Molecule: unclassified non-coding RNA, 207 nt
Filed under: Hevea brasiliensis (rubber tree)
Lineage: Eukaryota; Viridiplantae; Streptophyta; Magnoliopsida; Malpighiales; Euphorbiaceae
Source: RNAcentral
GGACCCACUUUCUGUGAGAGAGGGGAGAGGGAGCACUAGUGCACCGGGUGAGGGAAAACAAAAUCUCUUUUAACGUUCAGUUUUUCCAACUUCAAAUUUCAAACUCACUGAAAGUGACCGUAACAUGCACAUGAACUAUAAGCAACUAUAAUUUCCUUUUAAGUUCUCUGCUACUUGAUGAUUAAUUUUGUAAUGUAUUUAGAUAAA